Long non-coding RNA from Brassica napus (rape), 1776 nucleotides. RefSeq lists it as uncharacterized. The transcript has 7 exons. The record is from RefSeq and is a predicted model, not a curated record. Lineage: Eukaryota; Viridiplantae; Streptophyta; Magnoliopsida; Brassicales; Brassicaceae.
CAUUUAAUAUUUAAUAUUUAUUCUGAUGUGCUUUUUUUUUUGCAGCCCAACAGGACCAUCACAAUACUGCAAAAGUUCAUCGUCUCCGCGACCUCGAAACAUCUCGCGACUCUUCAGGUCAUCUCGGUCGCGGCUCCAAAUGAUCUUUGGUGGUCUAACCGCGAUUGCCUCCCUCCAUUGUCGUGACCAAGCUUCUUUCGCGGCGUGAGCCCGCGUGAUCGUUUCACCGCCGCGGCCUCCUAAACUCGCGACCAGAAGCCACAGUGUCUCCUAGCUUCCAAAAGUCGUCGAUCUCACUUCCAAUUGCAGAAUAUCUCAAACUGCGGCAGCCAAUCUGUGAUUUGUCCUUCAUCAAAGCGACGAUCCAAAUCCCGUGAAGAGCUUGAGAAUGGCUGAUCUAAGUGUGGAAGACACUCGAUCUAAUUGUCUUCAGAGUUCUUCAUUCCCUUCAUCUCUCUGGCGACCAAAAUUUGGAAACGUUACGUUACCUAUACACCCUCAUUACAAAGCAGCUGUUCUUCCUAUGUCGAGGUGUGUUUGCUCUGAUUCUGGGAAGUUCGAAACGUCAAACGCGGUGGUCCUUGAUUCGAUGGUUUUUCCGAUCUCUCCGAAGUAAAGCAUCUCAACUUUAAAAUUUGUUCUUGAACGGAGAACUUGGGAGAGGUUGGUGUUACCUUCUACCCUCGAUGACGUUGCUCAGAUAAGAAGAACACAUGGAUGAUGGAUCUGAAUGAGAAUCUUUACUUCGGAGAGCAAGACAGAAACCAUAAAGGGAUUAUGGUUUUGGGGCAUUGGGAAAAAUGCUAUUGAUGAAGCAGAUGUAAUGAUUACUUUUGUAUUGAGGGUGUUGAAGAAAUCAAGUGGCAAACAUACACGGGAGAACUCACACCAACGCAAGAAAAAACUAAGGAGAAAGUAUUGAAACUGUUGGAUAAGGUUUUGAAGACUCACAUGACAUGGCCUCCCCAAUGCCACCAAGAUACUGUGUUUUCGGGAUUCAGUUUCACUUCUCUCACGCAUAUUAGAUCACCACUAGCUAAUUUUUUUGAUUAGCUAGAAAGAUAGAGUUCAACACCCGAUGGUGGGUACAGAGUAGAGAUUACAUGCUGAUUUAGCAAGACGAUCAGCAAUAAGUAAUAACAUUAUCAAGUCUUGGAACAAAAGAGAAAGAGAUAGAUUCAAAGGAACUACUCAACAUUGAUAUAUCAUGGAGGUACGACUUAUGAUUAAACUCUCAAGUUAGGAUGUACAUUUCUAAUUUUCCAGACACUACUGUGUAUAGUUUGGUAUGUAUUGUCUUUCUAUUAUUUCUCUGUGUUCCCCUCCAUCUCAAGAUGCGCUUGCAGCUGAUGGAAGCAAAUAGUUCCACGGGCUUACUCUGAAGGCAGAAGUUGUGAAAGGUUUAGGACGGAACACAGUGCAAGAAAGUCGAAACAAAAGAAGGUCAAGGAUCUUAUCACCAGGGCCUAUAGAGGCAUAAACUUCCUUUAACACAAUAUUCGAGCCGAGAACAGCAAGCCCGUGGGACAUAAAUCUGAGGUCUACAGGCUGAAAUGGUCUCACGGUGAUACAAAGAAUGAAUCCGGAGGCAAAUUAAAUCAGCUCAUCUGUAACCUUAGCUGAAGCUCUACAAUUUAUUUGUUCCAUUUGUGUGACCAGAGUUAAUAUGAUUAAAGAAUAUUAAUAUGAUUAGAGAAAAAAGCUAUGUUCUGCUUAUAAGCCAAUAGCUAAAACAUGGACUAAAACUAUAAAAUGGUCUCAGCAGCCACUUUUAUU